AACAUGCACAAUGUGUACCUGCUGUAACUGUUGUCUGGAAGGAAGGGGUCAGGGUAAAAUAGACAAAGGCUUGCACAAAAACUGCUUGAAAUACAAAAGGGAAAAUUUGUUUGUAUUUGUUGCACUUGAUUUAAGACAUGGUGGUCUCCUAGUGCCUUUUUCAGAGCUCUGAAAUAAACUUGGCUUGCUUUCUCCCCUCGAUGUCUUUAUUGGUGCCAUGCACACUGGGCAACGAACCUCGCUGUUUGCCUCCUCGGGCCCUUUGAGCUGGCAACAGUUUUGGCGUCCCUGGGUGGGCUCGAGGCUGAAAUUUAGCCUUGCCCGGAUCCCUCCUGGUGGCCGACGGAUUACAGCGACGACCGACGCCCAGCGCGCACCGGUGACUUCAUCGGGGGCCUCGGCGGAGACGUGGUUUGCUCGACCCUGGAGGGCACAACGGUGCAACGCACUUAGACAGUAGAGAAGCAGCUGCGGGCGAUGGUGGGGAACCGGUCCCGUGGAUAGGGCGACGGUGCAGAACCGGACCCUUGGAUAAGAUACACCAAAGAUUCACAGCCUCUUCUGCUGGAUACCCCGGUCCAUUCCCUGCAGCCUGGUGACUCCGUUCUCGUGCGGACCUGAAAGGACAAGCCUCUCCAAGAGAAGUGGAAAGGACCCCACAUCGUCCUGCUUGUUUCCCACACAGCGGCAAAGGUCAAAGGACACAAGAACUGGUUUCAUCACGCUCGACUGAAAGCAGUACCCGCUCCUGAACAGUGGACUGUCCAGCCUGCUAAAAAAACUGCUAACGACAAUUUGGGACUUAAGCUGUUAUUCAAAAGACAGAAGCACUCCUUCUGUUACCUAAUGUUUCAUCCACAUCGGAUGCAGGAUGGGAAGCCAUCCCUGCAAAUAUGGCUAUCAAUACUUAUUAGGCCCUGAAAAUUGCCUUUGCCCGUGAGUUCAAGCUCUCCAACUGUUGGAUAUGUGCCCAGACUCCCCACCAUUCAGCGGGAUUGCCCUGGAGAGUAGUUUCCCAAAAUUGGUCAGACUAUUGUCAAAGGUGAAUGGUUACCAGCAGUAGCACCUCUGACAAUUUAAGUUUGCAAUCUAACUGUACUGCAAAAGCUCCUUAUAGCCUACACAAUGGCUCUUGGAAUUCCCACUAUAGUAGCACUCUUAAGCCCCAGCCUAUUCGUUUACGUUCUCCACCCAUUGGUCUCAUAUGUUAUCAGCAAGCCAGUACAAGUAAUCAUACCUGGUUUGCAGGCAUUAGUAAGUGUAAAUUUUAUAUUGGUCCUGGUAUAAGGCUCACUGUUCCUUUACUAAAUGCCACCGGUUUGCAAACCGGCGCUGCAUUCUUUGCCCUUUCUCCACAAGCCACCCUACGGGACCUACAAGGUACCAAUAAAAAGGCUAGUUAUGGUAAAGCAUUCUGGGUAUAUGGUAAUAGUGCCUAUAAAUGGCUUCCUCGUGGUUGGCAUGGUACCUGUUACAAAGGCUAUCUCGCUCCUCCCCUCCGUGUUCUCACCAAGGCUCCCUCAGGUCGCCCUAGGUACUAUCGGUCCCUAAAAGCUACCAUUAAACCCAUUGGUAAAAAAGACAGGUUUGGAAUAAUAUCCCUCCCUUCCUAUGGGGUGGGACGGCUAACCCAACUCUACAGAAGACUGUCUACAUUUCUCACUCAGUUUGCCAAUGAUACCCUGGCCAUAAAAAAACGCAUAAGUGCUGAGCUGUACCAGCUUCGACUGCUGGCUUUGCAAAACCGCCAGGCCCUAAAUUAUGUGUUAGCUUCAAAAGUAUGUGCCCUUAUUAAAAAAAAUGUUGUACCUAUGUCCCAAAGUUUUCACAAAAUAUUAACAAGUAUAUCUUGUUGGCCAAACAGGCCUUAAAUCAGUAAAAGGCCCGAAAAGGGGAACCCAGUAUUUUAAAUUCCCUUUGGGGUUAAAAUACCUAGUUUAGGGAAACUAGGGGGACUAGGGAAAAGCAUAGUUCGCAUCUUGCUCACAGGUGUGGUAAUAUGUUUUGUCCUUUUCCUUUUGCUCAUUUGUUGUAAAGUGCUCAUAUGUAAAAUAUGUACCUCCCAUUCCCCAAAAGUUCCCUUAUACCCUCUCAUUAAUAAUCCUAAUUGCAUGAAGCUUAAUCGCAUUUUAUCUUUAAAGUAUAAAAAAACUCUAACAAAGAUUUGUUAAGUGUUCUCAAAAAAAAAAUUGUUGGUGUCACUAGGCAUAGCUACGAGGUAACUCGAAAAAGUAAAAAGCCAAAAGUGCCAAUAAAGCUCUUCUGCUCUGGGCCUACCUGAACCACAAAA
Long non-coding RNA from Malaclemys terrapin pileata, 2290 nucleotides. RefSeq lists it as uncharacterized. Lineage: Eukaryota; Metazoa; Chordata; Testudines; Emydidae. The transcript has 2 exons. The record is from RefSeq and is a predicted model, not a curated record.